GAUGAACGCUGGCGGCGUGCCUAAUACAUGCAAGUCGAGCGAACAGACGAGGAGCUUGCUCCUCUGACGUUAGCGGCGGAUGGGUGAGUAACACGUGGAUAACCUACCUAUAAGACUGGGAUAACUUCGGGAAACCGGAGCUAAUACCGGAUAAUAUAUUGAACCGCAUGGUUCAAUAGUGAAAGACGGUUUUGCUGUCACUUAUAGAUGGAUCCGCGCCGCAUUAGCUAGUUGGUAAGGUAACGGCUUACCAAGGCAACGAUGCGUAGCCGACCUGAGAGGGUGAUCGCCCACACUGGAACUGAGACACGGUCCAGACUCCUACGGGAGGCAGCAGUAGGGAAUCUUCCGCAAUGGGCGAAAGCCUGACGGAGCAACGCCGCGUGAGUGAUGAAGGUCUUCGGAUUGUAAAACUCUGUUAUUAGGGAAGAACAAAUGUGUAAGUAACUAUGCACGUCUUGACGGUACCUAAUCAGAAAGCCACGGCUAACUACGUG
This 497-nucleotide ribosomal RNA is filed under the name uncultured bacterium. RNAcentral describes it as "partial 16S ribosomal RNA". It matches the Rfam family "Bacterial small subunit ribosomal RNA", at positions 28 to 507 of the family's 1533-position model. The record is from RNAcentral.